Non-coding RNA from Trichonephila inaurata madagascariensis, 73 nucleotides. The record is from the annotation of a GenBank genome assembly. Lineage: Eukaryota; Metazoa; Arthropoda; Arachnida; Araneae; Nephilidae.
GUCCCUGUAGCACAAUGCAUAGCGGAUUGGACUUUUAUUCCAAAGGUCGUGAGUUCGAAUCUCACCUGGGAUG